UGGCUGUUUGCAAUGAAGGGGCAUAUGAACAUUAAUGGGUUCUCCACUUAUUCAUAGGAAGAAAAGCCAUACUGGAAAUUAUUCUAACUGAACCCAUGUAUGAGGUCGACUGUACAUGUCAAAGCCGCAGCCUACAGAUAUAAGAGUGGCAUGUUUGUCAACUGCGCUGCAGUCUUUUCCUUCCAAUGGUAAUUAGUUAAGACAUUUAUUAAUUAAACAAUCAAAUAAAAGGAAUUUAAUGUACUGUAGGCACCCAUCUUCAAUCACAUCAGCACCAGCAGACGACCACCUCCGUGUCCACAUUCAAACAUUCGGUGACUGAACGGCCAAACUCAAAAUGGUUUUCUCUAAGGUUUGUAAGCUUCCACCAGUUGAUGAGAGUCGAGUGCUGAGAACUGAGGCAGACAACUCAACUGGGUCUCCAGAAAUAAUGAGAGACGGUCCAUAUGGAGCUCUAGCACUGGACUGCAAGAAGUAUGAUGUGGUACUGCUGGUGGGACUUGGGAUUGGGGCGACACCCAUGAUCAGCAUCGUAAAAUUUCAGUCAAUUGGCUACUGCUACUGCUAUUGAGACGACAGUUGGAACUUGGUGCAGCUGUACAUGCUAAGUUUUGCAAUUACAUCAUCUUUACUUGUGUUGAAAGUGCUGGCAGAGUUUAUUGGGCGCGUGCUGAUCUAAUAGCAGAGUUUAUUGGGCGUUUCCCUAUUUUAGUUAGAGGAUCUACUUGUGCAUAGAGAAGUAUCAGAGACAAUGAAGCAGGAGAUACGAGCAGAGUAUGAAACAACCGGUGGAACUCCAGAUAAGUCUCUAAAGUCUGAUUUUUCUCUAAACAUUAUGAUUGGAAUUGCUGUUCUGGCAAUUCUAAGAUAGUUUCUUGGAAAUUAAGGUUUAGUUUGUGAUGAUUAUUUUAGGGUUGUAUUUGUUUUUGAUGUGUAUGGUAAUGUUGUGAGUUCAUUAUAUCUUUAGCUGCUUGUCAAUGAGCAAAAUUACAUCUGUUGAUUUAUGUGAAUUACGUUAACAAUGUGGGUGUGUUUGUGUUUAUUUGCUUUAGUUUUUUCCAUGUGUGUGUUUUUGUGUUUAUGUGCUUUGGUGUUUUUAAAUGUGCGUGUUUGUGUUUAUGUGCUUUGGUGCUUUUAUGUGUUCUGUGCUUUGGUGUUCUUCUAUGUGGGUGUUUUUUUUCUGUGUGAGUAUUUUAGUGUUUCUACAUGUGGAUGCAUUUCUGUUUCUGUGCUUAAAUGUUUUUCUAUGUGUUUGUGUUUGUGUCUGUGUUUAUUUGCUUUGGUGUUUUUCUAUGUGGGUGUUUUUGUGUGUUCUGUGCUUUGAUAUUGUUCUAUGUGGGUGUUUUUUUUCUUCUAUGUGGGUGUUUUAAUGUUUCUCUAUGUCUGUGUUUGUGUUUCUAUGCUUUGUGAUUCUCCAUGUGGGUGCAUUUGUGUUUCUGUGCUUAGGUGCUUUCUAUGUGGGUGUCUUUGUGUUUCUUUGUUUCUCUAUGUAGUUUUGUUUGUUCCUUUUAAAGUUCUAACUGUGGGAAUACUUUGAAUUUGAAGUGUAAGUGUUGCCUUGUUUUUGUCUCGCCAUUUUUUUUAUUACAAUCGACUGCGUCGAAUUGUUUAUCCAUUAGGUCUCUUCACGAAGAACUUCCAUCACUCUCUUUUGUUAUGAAGAGUUUCUUCAAUGAAGUAUGUUUUCCUUCUCGCUUUUCUCCUUGUAUAGUCUUUAUUUGUUUGUUGUUCUGGCGACAUGGUGGUGGUUCAUGUCGAGCUUUCAUUUGAUAUCCUGAAAAAGUUUAGUGGCGCAUUUUGUUGAUAUUACGUUUGGAAUUUUUAUGAACUAUAAACUGCCAAGGGCGUGAACUUACCAAUUGUUUUUAAUGCAUCUUUUAUGAUAAGCUGUUAUGGAAUUUUUACUUGCUCUUUUCUUUGCAUUUAUUCAUCA
Long non-coding RNA from Mercurialis annua (annual mercury), 1933 nucleotides. RefSeq lists it as uncharacterized. Lineage: Eukaryota; Viridiplantae; Streptophyta; Magnoliopsida; Malpighiales; Euphorbiaceae. The transcript is spliced from 6 exons. The record is from RefSeq and is a predicted model, not a curated record.